AGAGUUUGAUCCUGGCUCAGGAUGAACGCUGGCGGCGUGCCUAAUACAUGCAAGUCGAGCGAACAGAUGAGAAGCUUGCUUCUCUGAUGUUAGCGGCGGACGGGUGAGUAACACGUGGGUAACCUACCUAUAAGACUGGGAUAACUCCGGGAAACCGGGGCUAAUACCGGAUAAUAUUUUGAACCGCAUGGUUCAAUAGUGAAAGACGGUUUCGGCUGUCACUUAUAGAUGGACCCGCGCCGUAUUAGCUAGUUGGUAAGGUAACGGCUUACCAAGGCGACGAUACGUAGCCGACCUGAGAGGGUGAUCGGCCACACUGGAACUGAGACACGGUCCAGACUCCUACGGGAGGCAGCAGUAGGGAAUCUUCCGCAAUGGGCGAAAGCCUGACGGAGCAACGCCGCGUGAGUGAUGAAGGUCUUCGGAUCGUAAAACUCUGUUGUUAGGGAAGAACAAAUUUGUUAGUAACUGAACAAGUCUUGACGGUACCUAACCAGAAAGCCACGGCUAACUACGUGCCAGCAGCCGCGGUAAUACGUAGGUGGCAAGCGUUAUCCGGAAUUAUUGGGCGUAAAGCGCGCGUAGGCGGUUUCUUAAGUCUGAUGUGAAAGCCCGCGGCUCAACCGGGGAGGGUCAUUGGAAACUGGGGAACUUGAGUGCAGAAGAGGAGAGUGGAAUUCCACGUGUAGCGGUGAAAUGCGUAGAGAUGUGGAGGAACACCAGUGGCGAAGGCGACUCUCUGGUCUGUAACUGACGCUGAGGAGCGAAAGCGUGGGGAGCGAACAGGAUUAGAUACCCUGGUAGUCCACGCCGUAAACGAUGAGUGCUAAGUGUUAGGGGGUUUCCGCCCCUUAGUGCUGCAGCUAACGCAUUAAGCACUCCGCCUGGGGAGUACGACCGCAAGGUUGAAACUCAAAGGAAUUGACGGGGACCCGCACAAGCGGUGGAGCAUGUGGUUUAAUUCGAAGCAACGCGAAGAACCUUACCAAAUCUUGACAUCCUUUGACCGCUCUAGAGAUAGAGUCUUCCCCUUCGGGGGACAAAGUGACAGGUGGUGCAUGGUUGUCGUCAGCUCGUGUCGUGAGAUGUUGGGUUAAGUCCCGCAACGAGCGCAACCCUUAAGCUUAGUUGCCAUCAUUAAGUUGGGCACUCUAGGUUGACUGCCGGUGACAAACCGGAGGAAGGUGGGGAUGACGUCAAAUCAUCAUGCCCCUUAUGAUUUGGGCUACACACGUGCUACAAUGGAUAAUACAAAGGGCAGCGAAUCCGCGAGGCCAAGCAAAUCCCAUAAAAUUAUUCUCAGUUCGGAUUGUAGUCUGCAACUCGACUACAUGAAGCUGGAAUCGCUAGUAAUCGUAGAUCAGCAUGCUACGGUGAAUACGUUCCCGGGUCUUGUACACACCGCCCGUCUC
Molecule: ribosomal RNA, 1412 nt
Filed under: Staphylococcus sp. CTSP26
Lineage: Bacteria; Bacillati; Bacillota; Bacilli; Caryophanales; Staphylococcaceae
Description: bacterial SSU rRNA
Rfam family: Bacterial small subunit ribosomal RNA
Source: RNAcentral